Molecule: ribosomal RNA, 497 nt
Filed under: uncultured bacterium
Lineage: Bacteria
Description: partial 16S ribosomal RNA
Rfam family: Bacterial small subunit ribosomal RNA
Source: RNAcentral
GACGAACGCUGGCGGCGUGCCUAAUACAUGCAAGUUGAGCGAUGAAGAUUGGUGCUUGCACCAAUUUGAAGAGCAGCGAACGGGUGAGUAACGCGUGGGGAAUCUGCCUUUGAGCGGGGGACAACAUUUGGAAACGAAUGCUAAUACCGCAUAAUAACUUUAAACAUAAGUUUUAAGUUUGAAAGAUGCAAUUGCAUCACUCAAAGAUGAUCCCGCGUUGUAUUAGCUAGUUGGUGAGGUAAAGGCUCACCAAGGCGAUGAUACAUAGCCGACCUGAGAGGGUGCUCGGCCACAUUGGGACUGAGACACGGCCCAAACUCCUACGGGAGGCAGCAGUAGGGAAUCUUCGGCAAUGGACGAAAGUCUGACCGAGCAACGCCGCGUGAGUGAAGAAGGUUUUCGGAUCGUAAAACUCUGUUGGUAGAGAAGAACGUUGGUGAGAGUGGAAAGCUCAUCAAGUGACGGUAACUACCCAGAAAGGGACGGCUAACUACGUG